AUUAGGUAUAUUUUCCAAUGAUUUUAAAUUUAAAUCGACGGUGGUUGAACUAGAUUAUCCAGGAAUAUUUGUGUAAUGGUUCAGGUUACCCAUUAAACCUGAACUGGAUCAAAAAUGGUCAACCCCACAGUUCAACCAUGGCUCAAACAAACCAGGCAAUAGUUUUGAGCAGUUUGGUCUUGAUUGAGAUGGCAUGCUAGAAAUUUGCCUCACAUUGAAAAAAUGUGAUGUUCUUUUAGUGGCAACAGGGACUUAAACUCAGCUUGAAGGUGUAUCAAAUACUACAAUUACUAUGAUCUUUGGGUAAAUUAUAAUUUGACCCCCAAGAUUUGGCAGAAAUCACAACUAAAUCCUUGUGUUUUAAAUUUUAAAUAAUUCUGACUCAG
Molecule: unclassified non-coding RNA, 386 nt
Filed under: Hevea brasiliensis (rubber tree)
Lineage: Eukaryota; Viridiplantae; Streptophyta; Magnoliopsida; Malpighiales; Euphorbiaceae
Source: RNAcentral